RNAcentral lists this ribosomal RNA (253 nucleotides) under uncultured bacterium. RNAcentral describes it as "partial 16S ribosomal RNA". It matches the Rfam family "Bacterial small subunit ribosomal RNA", at positions 524 to 776 of the family's 1533-position model. The record is from RNAcentral.
UACGAAGGGUGCAAGCGUUACUCGGAAUUACUGGGCGUAAAGCGUGCGUAGGUGGUUUGUUAAGUCUGUUGUGAAAGCCCCGGGCUCAACCUGGGAAUGGCCGUUGAAACUGGCGAACUGGAGUGUGGCAGAGGGGGGUGGAAUUCCGCGUGUAGCAGUGAAAUGCGUAGAGAUGCGGAGGAACACCGAUGGCGAAGGCAGCCCCCUGGGCUGACACUGACGCUCAGGCACGAAAGCAUGGGGAGCAAAAGGG